UACGUAGGGUGCAAGCGUUGCCCGGAUUUAUUGGGCGUAAAGGGCGCGCAGGCGGCUACGCACGUCCGUUGUGAAAUCGCUCGGCUCAACUGGGCGGGGUCGGCGGAUACGGCGUAGCUGGAGCAAGCUAGGGGGCAAUGGAAUUCCCGGUGUAGUGGUGGAAUGCGUAGAUAUCGGGAGGAACACCAGUGGCGAAGGCGGUUGCCUGGAGCUUUGCUGACGCUGAGGCGCGAAAGCGUGGGGAGCGAAUGGG
This 253-nucleotide ribosomal RNA is filed under the name uncultured bacterium. RNAcentral's name for it is "partial 16S ribosomal RNA". It matches the Rfam family "Bacterial small subunit ribosomal RNA", at positions 524 to 776 of the family's 1533-position model. The record is from RNAcentral.